CCACAUGAGAGCAGGCAUCAACGAGCACCAUCUCGUAGUCGCGAGCGAACUCGGGGCCUUUCCUUUUGCUGUUCUGGAUCACGUCAUUGGCGAGUUUCUCCCUAUUCUCCAGCAGACACUUACCCUUCUUCAGCUCCCGGUGCCACACUCGGACGAUGACCGUCGCCGGACGGCAGAUAAAUAACGCUAUACGCCCAUGGAGACAAGACUGCCCCGUUGCCAAGGCGAG
Molecule: non-coding RNA, 229 nt
Organism: Paramormyrops kingsleyae
Lineage: Eukaryota; Metazoa; Chordata; Actinopteri; Osteoglossiformes; Mormyridae
Source: RefSeq, a predicted model, not a curated record